GCCGGGUGUGGUGGCUCACGCCUGUAAUCCCAGCACUUCGGGAGGCUGAGGUGGGUGGAUCACCUGAGGUCAGGAGUUUGAGGCCAGCCAGUUCAAGGCCAACCUGGCCAAGAUGGUGAAACCCCAUCUCUA
Molecule: unclassified non-coding RNA, 132 nt
Organism: Papio anubis (olive baboon)
Lineage: Eukaryota; Metazoa; Chordata; Mammalia; Primates; Cercopithecidae
Rfam family: Metazoan signal recognition particle RNA
About the family: The signal recognition particle (SRP) is a universally conserved ribonucleoprotein. It is involved in the co-translational targeting of proteins to membranes.
Source: Ensembl